UACGGAGGGUGCGAGCGUUGUCCGGAAUCACUGGGCGUAAAGGGCGCGUAGGCGGCGAGGAUAGUCAACGGUGAAAGCUUGGGGCUCAACCCCGAGUCGGCCGUCGAUACUUCCUUGCUUGAGCACUGUAGAGGCAGAUGGAAUUCCGGGUGUAGCGGUGGAAUGCGUAGAGAUCCGGAGGAACACCAGCGGCGAAGGCGGCAUCCUGGACUGGUCCUGACACUCAGGAGCGAAAGCGUGGGGAGCGAUCCGG
Molecule: ribosomal RNA, 253 nt
Filed under: uncultured bacterium
Lineage: Bacteria
Description: partial 16S ribosomal RNA
Rfam family: Bacterial small subunit ribosomal RNA
Source: RNAcentral